CCUACGGGAGGCAGCAGUGGGGAAUAUUGGGCAAUGGUCGCAAGCCUGACCCAGCAACGCCGCGUGAAGGAAGAAGGCUUUCGGGUUGUAAACUUCUUUUCUCAGGGACGAAGAAAGUGACGGUACCUGCGGAAUAAGCCACGGCUAACUACGUGCCAGCAGCCGCGGUAAUCCGUAGGUGGCAAGCGUUAUCCGGAUUUAUUGGGUGUAAAGGGCGUGUAGGCGGGAGGGCAAGUCAGAUGUGAAAACUCAGGGCUCAACCCUGAGCCUGCAUUUGAAACUGUGUUUCUUGAGUGCUGGAGAGGCAAGCGGAAUUCCGGGUGUAGCGGUGAAAUGCGUAGAUAUACGGAGGAACACCAGUGGCGAAGGCGGAUUGCUGGACAGUAACUGACGCUGAGGCGCGAAAGCGUGGGGAGCAAACAGGAUUAGAUACCCGUGUAGUC
Molecule: ribosomal RNA, 443 nt
Filed under: uncultured bacterium
Lineage: Bacteria
Description: partial 16S ribosomal RNA
Rfam family: Bacterial small subunit ribosomal RNA
Source: RNAcentral